UCUGGUAACUAUGGCAAAGAGGUCACACCCGUUCCCAUACCGAACACGGAAGUUAAGCUCUUUAGCGCCAAUGGUAGUUGGGGGUUUCCCCCUGUGAGAGUAGGACGUUGCCAGGC
This 116-nucleotide ribosomal RNA is filed under the name Metabacillus flavus. The record is from RNAcentral. Lineage: Bacteria; Bacillati; Bacillota; Bacilli; Caryophanales; Bacillaceae.